UUACGGCCAUAUCACGUUAAAACAUCGGUUUACGUACGAUCACCGAAGUUAAGCAACACCGAGCUUGGUCAGUACCGGGUGACCACUCGGGCAUACCAGGUGCUGUAAG
Acanthosepion pharaonis is the source of this 109-nucleotide non-coding RNA. The record is from the annotation of a GenBank genome assembly. NCBI's taxonomy places the organism in Eukaryota, Metazoa, Mollusca, Cephalopoda, Sepiida, Sepiidae.